AGAGUUUGAUCCUGGCUCAGGACGAACGCUGGCGGCGUGCUUAACACAUGCAAGUCGAGCGGAAAGGCCCUUUCGGGGGUACUCGAGCGGCGAACGGGUGAGUAACACGUGAGUAACCUGCCCUGGACUUUGGGAUAACCCUCGGAAACGGGGGCUAAUACCGGAUAUGACCUUGUGCCGCAUGGUGUGGGGUGGAAAGUUUUUCGGUCUGGGAUGGGCUCGCGGCCUAUCAGCUUGUUGGUGGGGUGAUGGCCUACCAAGGCGACGACGGGUAGCCGGCCUGAGAGGGCGACCGGCCACACUGGGACUGAGACACGGCCCAGACUCCUACGGGAGGCAGCAGUGGGGAAUAUUGCACAAUGGGCGGAAGCCUGAUGCAGCGACGCCGUGUGAGGGAUGACGGCCUUCGGGUUGUAAACCUCUUUCAGCCCUGACGAAGCGUGAGUGACGGUAGGGGCAGAAGAAGCGCCGGCCAACUACGUGCCAGCAGCCGCGGUAAGACGUAGGGCGCGAGCGUUGUCCGGAUUUAUUGGGCGUAAAGAGCUCGUAGGCGGCUUGUCGCGUCGGCUGUGAAAUCCCGUGGCUUAACUGCGGGUCUGCAGCCGAUACGGGCAGGCUAGAGUUCGGUAGGGGAGACUGGAAUUCCUGGUGUAGCGGUGAAAUGCGCAGAUAUCAGGAGGAACACCGGUGGCGAAGGCGGGUCUCUGGGCCGAUACUGACGCUGAGGAGCGAAAGCGUGGGGAGCGAACAGGAUUAGAUACCCUAGUAGUCC
Molecule: ribosomal RNA, 772 nt
Filed under: uncultured bacterium
Lineage: Bacteria
Description: bacterial SSU rRNA
Rfam family: Bacterial small subunit ribosomal RNA
Source: RNAcentral